Molecule: ribosomal RNA, 497 nt
Filed under: uncultured bacterium
Lineage: Bacteria
Description: partial 16S ribosomal RNA
Rfam family: Bacterial small subunit ribosomal RNA
Source: RNAcentral
GAUGAACGCUGGCGGCGUGCCUAAUACAUGCAAGUCGAGCGAACGGACGAGAAGCUUGCUUCUCUGAUGUUAGCGGCGGACGGGUGAGUAACACGUGGAUAACCUACCUAUAAGACUGGGAUAACUUCGGGAAACCGGAGCUAAUACCGGAUGAUAUUUUGAACCGCAUGGUUCAAAAGUGAAAGACGGUCUUGCUGUCACUUAUAGAUGGAUCCGCGCUGCAUUAGCUAGUUGGUAAGGUAACGGCUUACCAAGGCAACGAUGCAUAGCCGACCUGAGCGGGUGAUCGGCCACACUGGAACUGAGACACGGUCCAGACUCCUACGGGAGGCAGCAGUAGGGAAUCUUCCGCAAUGGGCGAAAGCCUGACAGAGCAACGCCGCGUGAGGGAUGAAGGUCUUCGGAGCGUAAAACUCUUUUAUUAGGGAAGAAAAUAUGUGGAAUUAACUGUGCACAUCUUGACGGUACCGAAUCAGAAAGCCACGGCUAACUACGUG